This 253-nucleotide ribosomal RNA is filed under the name uncultured bacterium. Its description in RNAcentral is "partial 16S ribosomal RNA". It matches the Rfam family "Bacterial small subunit ribosomal RNA", at positions 524 to 776 of the family's 1533-position model. The record is from RNAcentral.
UACAGAGGGUGCAAGCGUUAAUCGGAAUUACUGGGCGUAAAGCGCGCGUAGGUGGUUCGUUAAGUUGGAUGUGAAAUCCCCGGGCUCAACCUGGGAACUGCAUUCAAAACUGUCGAGCUAGAGUAUGGUAGAGGGUGGUGGAAUUUCCUGUGUAGCGGUGAAAUGCGUAGAUAUAGGAAGGAACGCCAGUGGCGAAGGCGACCACCUGGACUGAUACUGACACUGAGGUGCGAAAGCGUGGGGAGCAAACAGG